Molecule: long non-coding RNA, 3802 nt
Organism: Haplochromis burtoni (Burton's mouthbrooder)
Lineage: Eukaryota; Metazoa; Chordata; Actinopteri; Cichliformes; Cichlidae
Exons: 2
Source: RefSeq, a predicted model, not a curated record
GUUCGUGACACAGCCCAAGGAUAGACUGCGAUGGAGCGGGUGUGUCUUUGCCAAGCCUGACGUUUGUCCGCUGGAUAGACAGAUCUACUGCUGGAGAGGAGAUGAAAUAUACGAGUUGCUCUUUAUGUUACACUAGUCUGUUUGACUUGUCAAAGACAACCGAGGAGUCAUUCUUCGGUAUUAUAAUGCGUUUAUAUCACAAUAACGCGAUCGUAAUUGAGUGCACAGGCAGUCUGACCCCGUGUAGUCUAAUUAAGAUAAGCUUUAAGUCCAGGGGAAAAAGUGAAUUCCUCAAGGCCCCACCCUUUGCAGCUCAACAUGGAUGUGAAGAGUAACCCCACCACCACCACCUCUCUCUCCCUCCCUCCUUCCCUGAACGUCAUUCAUUUCCCCGUUCAAGCUUGUAUUGUGCUGUUUUCCCCCCUCUUCAGUAUCUCCAGGUGUCCACGGUAGAUCUUCUUGUUUUAAAUCGACUUUUUGAGCAUCACGGUUGGUUCUUCUUCCAGGAUUGUCCAGAGGUUUUAAUAAAUUGAGACUGCCGUGUUCACAUGCAUUCCCGGCUCCAGAUGCUCUCCAUUAAAUCCUGUAAGACACACAGCGGGACUUCACUGGAAGGGCUGCUUCCUCUUCCUCUUUCCCACCUGCGGACUUCCUGUCAGUUGACAUCACCUCUUCCUUAAAAAAAUACCAUACUCCGUUUGGAGGAAGUCAGCGCAUUUCCAAGCUGUGCUCACUGGAUGAAUGAGGGUGGCAAAUUUUUACAGCCACGUGGAUAAUAACUGUGGUAUAAUUGCUGUCAGGUUGGUGAAUCUGUGGGGUCUUUUUGGUCCUUUUAGUGUGUGUGUGUGCGUGCUUGUGCGUGUUACACCUAUUGUUUCACGGGACAUACUGUUAAUGCUAUGCAGCUGAACCAGAUAGAACCUAUGAGGAACAUGUUAGCCUUUUAUGGGGCUGUUUUCUACCAGCGGAAGGUGUUCCUCCACCCACAGCUGUAACUGGUUUCAUUUUGAAUCAUUAAUUCAUAUUCAGAUAAACAUCAGCCGUGGGCACAAAGAGUGAUUACACAAUAUAGAUCCACAUGCACAUGCAAUUCACUCUCACAUUGCAGUAUCUAGUUGCAUCUCAUAAUUUAAAGUCUGUGUGUGUUUCUGCACAUAGGGAGAGUACUUCCAUGGAUCCCACCACACCCUCACCCACCUAGCCUCAUGCAUGUAUUUGUUUACUUACUAAAAUGCAUUAUACAUAUAAGUUAUCCUCCUCCUGUACUCACCAAAGAAGAUUCCAAUCUUUCGUGGUGAUUUUGAUAACCCAGGAGCGCGAAGGAGAAACCUUUUCCGACAGGGCGCUAGUGUUAGCUUGCAUCUCUUCCGGAAUUACGCUUCAGUGGGAUUUGUGUAUGUGCGUGCUUGUUCAUGGCUUUUGAAAUUCUUUCCCCCUUCACUAAUCCAAUUCAGAGCUGUAGGAGGAAAGCACUGGCAAAUAUAUUGAUCCACUAUUCACUUGAAAGCAAUUUGUCAUGGCCUUCAGAGAAGGAUUAAGGGAGGUGGGGGUGCACAUAUGAUCGAGUGCAGACCAGUCCAAACCGUGACAGUGAUACAAUAGGCCAUCAGCGUGUGCACGUAUAGGAUGUUAGCGUGCACACUGGGGAAUGCAAAAUAUCUUCAAACACCUUUUGUUCCUAAUGGGUUGGCCUAUUACCUUAAAUGCACAUUUUAAACUCUCAGAUGACGGUUACAAACAUGGACGUGUUUGAAUGCCUGGGUGUAGUACAUGUGACUGACUGUAUCUUACAAGAAUGAGCUCAAGGUGGGCUGAUUGAGAAAUGCCAGACUGUGCAUUACCUCUGCUGUUAUUUAUAUGAUAGAUUAUGAGGAAAUUCUUCAACAGAUACCAGUAAACACAUGUUUCAGAUCAUUUUUGUGGCCUACGCUGACAUUUCCAAUGUUUGCUGCAGUAGAAAUGGCAACUUCUUCUUUCAAAGCAACCUGCAGAGCAUUCCUCUCAAAACUAUGGUUAAUUGUAGAGGACUGGCUCCCUGUAAUAAAGAGCACAAGCAGUAUUGUGAGUUUUUUUUCAAGUAUUACAUUGUUAUUUGGAGAGGAAAAAAACUGGACUUGAAUGUGUGCAAUUGUUAUACUGGCAAUGAACUAAUUGUUCUGGGGUGUGCCGUGAGUUUGCUGUAAUAAAACUAGCAUUAGGGUUUCUGCCAGGACUGCCGCUUUCAACAGAAAAUAUUUUAGAUGACUACGAUACCAAAAAAGACGAGGGCUUGAUCCUGCUUGUAAAAUGGAUAUAGUUGAUGCCUUUGGAGGACAGAUAAGAGGCUUGCCAGAAUCUGUUGCACAGCUGCUCAUAUCCUCAGCACAGGAAGCACCUGUAUAAGAUUCUCUUGCUUCAUAUAAAGAAAGCCUUCAUGGUAUACUUAGCUGUAGCAUUAGGCUUCCACCUACAUUGGACACAAAGUCUGCCUUAAAUGCUUGUGUGGUGGUUUUUUGUAUCCUAUUUUAGCUUUUUUCUGUUUCGUCUUGCAGGAGAAACAUUUAGCAUCAAUUCCCACUCGUACCCCUGACAGUAAAACUGUUCAAAUACCACAAUAUGGACUGGAUUCAUUUUUUGCAAUUCAUUUUGGAUAAGAUAUGGCAUUUCUGGAAUGAUUCAUGGGGCUUCCCAUUCUUUGGUCUUGGCAGUAUCAUCAUCCCGUAUUGCCUUCUGGGAUAUGUUGUUGUUGGCUUGCUUUCAUAGAUUGAAUCUAGUCUCUUUCCUCUUAGUCAUACUUCCGCAAUUAGAUAGCAUUCCAAUUUACCAAAAAAGACCAUUAUAGCCCAAACCAUACCCACAGCCAAAUCCAAAUAAGUGGGAUUGUCUGGAAACAAACGAGGGUGAGCACACCCUUUAAUAUCAGGUCACUUUUGUAAGAGGAUGUCUACUUGGCAGUCGGCUGUGAGUUAUUUUUAAAUGUUUUUACAGUGACUUUGCAAUUUAAAGCGCGUUGGUUAAUGUGUUACUUUUGUCGAGCCUCUGGACAGCUUCAUAUUUGCUCUAAGGCAAAGUUAACAAUCGUGCCAUCACUACUAAAUACCCUUUUUGCCGAGUUUGUGUUCUCCAUGGUUUUGUUUGCAUUUUUAACCUAACAGGUAUUUAGUCUGUCUAUGUCUGUGCUGCCUCAGGAAUAACCAAAAACACAUGGGCUGGUUCGCUGCGCACGUCAACCUCAGAGUAAUGUCACGAUUUGGGGACAAUGGGUCUUGAUCUCAGAAGUUUAAGCUAUCACUAGCUCACUGCCAACUCACUGCUUCUAUCACUCGUGCACACAUGCGCUGUGUGCCACUUGUGUGUAUUUGCUUGUUUCUUCCUACACACUCCGAGGAGCCAUUUUCACCCUGUUGCUUAGGCUUGCCGUAAUUGUCCUGGGAAUCGUCAGCUCUGGGUAAUAAAUCAGUCCUCUGGUACACUGUGUUCUCCACUCUGGUGUACGGGAUGGCCUCUGCUUGCACGUGUAGUGCGCAUACUUAGCAUUUCAUGAGUAGAGGGGAAAAAAACACAGCCGAGAAAUAAUGCGGUUUGAAAACUACACGAAGAACAAAGAAACUCCAGCUCUCUGUCACAACAGGCUCAACUUCAUUUUUUUAUUGCAUGCAAUUGAUAAAUAAUGAGGAUUUUUUUCUUCUCUUUCUUUUUUUGCACUUAUUUUCUUCUUCCAGACUUCUUUCUUUCCUGUAUGUUUCACAUGUAGAAAUAUUAAACAGUGCUCUUCAUCUUCCCCACUAAAGUGCUGCAUUUAAAGCAAAUGCUACAAUUCUGG